Molecule: long non-coding RNA, 1636 nt
Organism: Epinephelus moara (kelp grouper)
Lineage: Eukaryota; Metazoa; Chordata; Actinopteri; Perciformes; Serranidae
Exons: 4
Source: RefSeq, a predicted model, not a curated record
AGUGAGAGAAAAGAGAGAGGGGGCCGCAUACUGGGGACAGUGGUGAGCCAGUCGGUCCUGAGAGGUGGAAGAGAAGAGAAGAGAAGAGAAGAGAAGAGAAGAGAAGAGAAGAGAAGAGAAAUGAGGAUCUCACGUUAAAAUCUGAUGAGAUGGAGAUGAAGAAACACCUCUGAUGCUGCCACGUGAAGUGAGCACAUAACCUGGUUGGACAUUUGCACUGGACCUCUGCAGCCACAAAACAGCUGGCACUUUCUCAGUCUGGACUCUGUUCUCAGGGUCUCCCAGAGAACACUUCUGCAACAACAGCUUCGGCAGCAACAGGUGCUUUCGUAACUCAAACUAGGUGACUCAGGAUAUCGGGGGGAUGGACAACAGCAGUAAGCCAGACACUUUGCCUCUUGGCCUGGGAAGGCAGUCUGCCAUGUCUGGGUCUCUACCCUCAUACCCCGUGGAGAAGGACUCUAUCCUCACUGCAGCCCGGCUCGCCCGCCGAGGAUGGACAGAGGACUAUUCCAACUGCCCAGCACGUCAACCCUCUGUCUCUCAGUCAGAUGAAAUUCAGGAUCCAAAGGGUGUUGAGAUCUGCCUGAAGGACCCCCGGAGCAGGCAGGUUUUCAUCGUGGACAGCAGGAAGACGGCUGAGGACAGAGAGAUGGACUCUGAAAAAAAGGCAGAUGAAGCAAAACAGGCUGAUGGUGCAUUCUCAGCUAACAAACAAGCAGACAGACAGACAGGUCUCUGCAGUCAGGCAGGAAUCCGUGUCUGGGUGACUCGCUGUCGCACCACAUGCAGACAGUCCCGAAGGUUUAAGGCCCCGAUACUACCAGUCAUAUCUGAGAUAUAGGCUAGCUGCCAUGUUCCAGGAAGAACAAUGAAUUAAACGUUACACACCUGGUUAUGCUCCUUCUUGGUUGUGAUAAGCGCACAAUAAUCUAUGUAGACUUUACUCAAACAUAUUAAAUGAAAGACUUAAAUGGCGUGAAUAAUGUUGUUGUAACUAUGUGAAUAAAUGGAAAAAAUGCUAAAAGAAAAAAAUGCAAAUAUGUACAAAUGUAACUGUGGGUUGUUUUUCUGUUCUAGUAAACACUUAGACAUUAUGGGUGCAGCAGAAAUAAUAUGGAAACUAAAUUUUGUCUGUCUGUUUUUUGUUGUCUGUCUACCCCUGAAUGAGUAGUAUUGUCUGUCGCAAUUUGUAAACACAAUAUUCAAAAUUGGCCCCUCCCCCAGCCCGUCUUGGAUGCACACCCUGCGGAGACUGACUGACUCCAUCGAAGAGAAUACUGAAUUAAAAUACAUAUUGACAUACAAUUGAAGAUAGAAACUGAAAUAUGACUUCAAAUUAUGUUAAAACAAAAGUAAUCUGACUACAUGCGUCUAAAAAUCUUCACCUUUAAAUCUAUUUUUUUCCUGGUUUUAGCCGAUACAUACUUUAAUUUUUAAACCACACAGAAACUGUAUUGCUGGAUUUAUUUGUUUUAUUUCAGUUCCCCUGUGCUGCCUAUUUAAUGAAGGACAUUAAAGGUACCAGGAGGAAUUUCCUUGAAAACAAAGUUGUUUAAAUUCUGUGUUAUUUACCAAAAUGCAUUACGUGUAUUUUUGUGGCCUCACGUUUAAUAAAUGUCCCUCCUCAUAAAUC